RNAcentral lists this ribosomal RNA (1341 nucleotides) under uncultured bacterium. RNAcentral describes it as "partial 16S ribosomal RNA". It matches the Rfam family "Bacterial small subunit ribosomal RNA", at positions 28 to 1381 of the family's 1533-position model. The record is from RNAcentral.
GACGAACGCUAGCGGCGUGCUUAACACAUGCAAGUCGAACGGUAAGGCUCCAGCUUGCUGGGGUACACGAGUGGCGAACGGGUGAGUAACACGUGGGUGACCUGCCCUGCACUUCGGGAUAAGCCUGGGAAACUGGGUCUAAUACCGGAUAGGACCGCACCGUGAGGGUGUGGUGGAAAGUUUUUUCGGUGUGGGAUGGGCCCGCGGCCUAUCAGCUUGUUGGUGGGGUAAUGGCCUACCAAGGCGGCGACGGGUAGCCGGCCUGAGAGGGUGGACGGCCACAUUGGGACUGAGACACGGCCCAGACUCCUACGGGAGGCAGCAGUGGGGAAUAUUGCACAAUGGGCGGAAGCCUGAUGCAGCGACGCCGCGUGGGGGAUGACGGCCUUCGGGUUGUAAACUCCUUUCACCAUCGACGAAGGGUUUCUGACGGUAGAUGGAGAAGAAGCACCGGCUAACUACGUGCCAGCAGCCGCGGUAAUACGUAGGGUGCGAGCGUUGUCCGGAAUUACUGGGCGUAAAGAGCUCGUAGGUGGUUUGUCGCGUCGUCUGUGAAAUUCCGGGGCUUAACUCCGGGCGUGCAGGCGAUACGGGCAUAACUUGAGUACUGUAGGGGAGACUGGAAUUCCUGGUGUAGCGGUGAAAUGCGCAGAUAUCAGGAGGAACACCGGUGGCGAAGGCGGGUCUCUGGGCAGUAACUGACGCUGAGGAGCGAAAGCAUGGGGAGCGAACAGGAUUAGAUACCCUGGUAGUCCAUGCCGUAAACGGUGGGCGCUAGGUGUGGGUUUCCUUCCACGGGAUCCGUGCCGUAGCUAACGCAUUAAGCGCCCCGCCUGGGGAGUACGGCCGCAAGGCUAAAACUCAAAGGAAUUGACGGGGGCCCGCACAAGCGGCGGAGCAUGUGGAUUAAUUCGAUGCAACGCGAAGAACCUUACCUGGGCUUGACAUAUACAGGAUCGCGCCAGAGAUGGUGUUUCCCUUGUGGCUUGUAUACAGGUGGUGCAUGGUUGUCGUCAGCUCGUGUCGUGAGAUGUUGGGUUAAGUCCCGCAACGAGCGCAACCCUUGUCUUAUGUUGCCAGCACGUUGUGGUGGGGACUCGUAAGAAACUGCCGGGGUUAACUCGGAGGAAGGUGGGGAUGACGUCAAAUCAUCAUGCCCCUUAUGUCCAGGGCUUCACACAUGCUACAAUGGUCGGUACAGUGGGUUGCCAGUCCGUGAGGGCGAGCUAAUCCCGCAAAGCCGGUCUCAGUUCGGAUCGGGGUCUGCAACUCGACCCCGUGAAGUCGGAGUCGCUAGUAAUCGCAGAUCAGCAACGCUGCGGUGAAUACGAUCCCGGGCCU